GAUGAACGCUGGCGGCGUGCCUAAUACAUGCAAGUCGAGCGAACAGACGAGGAGCUUGCUCCUUCGACGUUAGCGGCGGACGGGUGAGUAACACGUAGGUAACCUACCUAUAAGACUGGGAUAACUUCGGGAAACCGGAGCUAAUACCGGAUAAUAUUUCGAACCGCAUGGUUCGAUAGUGAAAGAUGGCUUUGCUAUCACUUAUAGAUGGACCUGCGCCGUAUUAGCUAGUUGGUAAGGUGACGGCUUACCAAGGCAACGAUACGUAGCCGACCUGAGAGGGUGAUCGGCCACACUGGAACUGAGACACGGUCCAGACUCCUACGGGAGGCAGCAGUAGGGAAUCUUCCGCAAUGGGCGAAAGCCUGACGGAGCAACGCCGCGUGAGUGAUGAAGGUCUUCGGAUCGUAAAACUCUGUUAUUAGGGAAGAACAAGCGUGUAAGUAACUGUGCACGUCUUGACGGUACCUAAUCAGAAAGCCACGGCUAACUACGUG
This 497-nucleotide ribosomal RNA is filed under the name uncultured bacterium. RNAcentral describes it as "partial 16S ribosomal RNA". It matches the Rfam family "Bacterial small subunit ribosomal RNA", at positions 28 to 507 of the family's 1533-position model. The record is from RNAcentral.